This 333-nucleotide ribosomal RNA is filed under the name Triticum aestivum (bread wheat). RNAcentral describes it as "partial small subunit ribosomal RNA". The record is from RNAcentral. Lineage: Eukaryota; Viridiplantae; Streptophyta; Magnoliopsida; Poales; Poaceae.
AUGCAGGCUGAAAUGCUCAAGAUCACUGUUGGACAACUCCUCGAUAUCGAGCCCAUGUCUCCACUUAGAGAGGAGGAAAUAAAACGGAAAUAUGUCCGGGGCCAACCUUUGGUCGAGCCCGAGGAGGUCAAGAACCUCCCAACGAGAAUGUAUGAAUUACAUGAUUGGUACAUGAAAAUUACCAAGAUUUCCAAUCGAGAGUCCCUCAUGGUGCAAGUCGAGGAAGAUCAUUACUUCAAUAAGAAAGCUCUGUCCGUUGAGUAUUCAGAACUAUUUCAGUUAUUCAAUCAAGAUGUACUCGACAAAUAUAUCGUCAGUUGCUAUUGUCUGUAA